RNAcentral lists this RNase P RNA (401 nucleotides) under Acidobacteriota bacterium. Its description in RNAcentral is "RNase P RNA component class A". It matches the Rfam family "Bacterial RNase P class A". Rfam says of the family: Ribonuclease P (RNase P) is a ubiquitous endoribonuclease, found in archaea, bacteria and eukarya as well as chloroplasts and mitochondria. The record is from RNAcentral. Lineage: Bacteria; Pseudomonadati; Acidobacteriota.
GGAGCGGAUCGGAGGAUCGCGGCGGAGUCACAACGAUGCCGAGGAAAGUCCGAACUCCUACGGGCAGCAGGCUGGCUAACGGCCAGGCGCGGUGACGCGACGGAAAGUGCAACAGAAAAUAAACCGCCGAUCAUUGACUGCAGCAGAGGUUCGCAAGGUCAACGAGGUAAGGGUGAAACGGUGCGGUAAGAGCGCACCGCGUCGCACGUGAGUGUCGACGGCACGGCAAACCCCCUGCGGAGCAAGACCAAAUAGGGACGUGAUGGACUCGCCCGUGUCCACUCGAGCGUCCGGGUAGGUUGCUUGACCGCCGCGGUAACGCGAGCGGCAGACGAAUGAUCUUCGCCCCGAGCGCGCAAGCGCAAAGGGAACAAAAUUCGGCUUACAGAUCCGCUCCACGC